UACGUAGGGUCCGAGCGUUAAUCGGAAUUACUGGGCGUAAAGGGCGCGUAGGCGGCCUGUUAAGUCGAACGUGAAAUCCCCGGGCUCAACCCGGGAACUGCGUCCGAUACUGGAUGGCUUGAGGUUGGGAGAGGGAUGCGGAAUUCCAGGUGUAGCGGUGAAAUGCGUAGAUAUCUGGAGGAACACCGGUGGCGAAGGCGGCAUCCUGGACCAAUUCUGACGCUGAGGAGCGAAAGCCAGGGGAGCAAACGGG
This 253-nucleotide ribosomal RNA is filed under the name uncultured bacterium. RNAcentral describes it as "partial 16S ribosomal RNA". It matches the Rfam family "Bacterial small subunit ribosomal RNA", at positions 524 to 776 of the family's 1533-position model. The record is from RNAcentral.